This 497-nucleotide ribosomal RNA is filed under the name uncultured bacterium. Its description in RNAcentral is "partial 16S ribosomal RNA". It matches the Rfam family "Bacterial small subunit ribosomal RNA", at positions 28 to 507 of the family's 1533-position model. The record is from RNAcentral.
GAUGAACGCUGGCGGCGUGCCUAAUACAUGCAAGUCGAGCGAACAGACGAGGAGCUUGCUCCUCUGACGUUAGCGGCGGACGGGUGAGUAACACGUGGAUAACCUACCUAUAAGACUGGGAUAACUUCGGGAAACCGGAGCUAAUACCGGAUAAUAUAUUGAACUGCAUGGUUCAAUAGUGAAAGACGGUUUUGCUGUCACUUAUAGAUGGAUCCGCGCCGCAUUAGCUAGUUGGUAAGGUAACGGCUUACCAAGGCAACGAUGCGUAGCCGACCUGAGAGGGUGGUCGGACACACUGGAACUGAGACACGGUCCAGACUCCUACGGGAGGCAGCGGUAGGGAAUCUUCCGCGAUGGGCGAAAGCCUGACGGAGCAACGCCGCGUGAGUGAUGAAGGUCUUCGGAUCGUAAAACUCUGUUAUUAGGGGAGAACGAAUGUGUAAGUAACUAUGCACGUCUUGACGGUACCUAAUCAAAAAGCCACGGCUAACUACGUG